UAACAUACAGAGACUGGAGGGCUGCAGGGGGUCUCCACUGUGGCCACUGAAAGAAAAAAACAAAACCCAAACCAAAAAACAUAAAAACAAAAGGAAAAUUCUAGAAAUAGGAUCAGCUGAACCUGGGAGACCAUAAAGCCUGUGGCCCAGAAGAAGCUGGGUUCAGGGUGAGACAAAUGAUUAGGUGAUUAAAAAACCCUAAGAGUAUCGGAGCAGGCUUGCUAAUCCCCCUUUCAUGGAUUAGACAACCAGUGGAGGUUUAGAAGAAUGAAGGACUCAUCCAUGCCACACAAAUUAGCACUUGAAUCUAUACAUGUUGGUUGUUUUCUGUUAGUGCAAAACUACAUUUAAUAUCUAUGCCUAGAGGGUCUCCACUUCCUUAAAGACUAGCAAUAAGCUGUUGUGUUUUUAAGACAUAAACUGAUUCUAUCAUGGAUAAAGAUGGCAAGCAUUAAAGUAGGGAGGUAGGGGCAGGAUUCUCUUUUCAGAGUCCCUGUCCUCAGUUAAAAAGUGAUAGCAAUUUUCUGAGUUUUUUUUUCUUUAAAUGAUCCCUAUCACAUGAGAAAUUUGACUUGCUAUACAAAAUUACCAAUUUCUCUUGGGCAAAGAAAAUUAAAGAGGUACUAUAUUAGAAUUUACUCUACGCUGUUAUUACAAAGAGAAACAGUCAAUAGACUGCUUAAACAAGAAUAAAAAUCUUAGACCUCUUAUCAAAAGUGAUUCUCAGCCAGUAGAAGGAGUACAAAUGAAUGGGGCUCAUGCAUCAUUUCCCUUAAAGCACAACCAGGAAGUGACAGACCUUAGUCACAUGGCCACAUAGCCUGUCCAACCUUCAGCUGGAUACCAAUAUUCACAGACAAAAGACAGGAGUUCUGUUAUUGAAGGAAGAGGGUUGGCCAAAUUUUAUUGGUGGACAGAUUGUAGGCUCUUCCACAGGUGCAAACAUAGAAGAAAUGCAAGACAGCAUGGAACUCAAUUUAAGAUAUGGGUCUACUGCUUGGACCGAAGUAGCAAUUGGAUUAAAAAAGAGAAGGAGAAAAUGAAACUUGAGAUAGGCCUGGUAGUAGAACUGGUAUUGAAGUGCCUUUGCAUUCAUCCAAGAAAUAUUUUGAAUGAACCAGUGAUACUACAAGGUGAUGAAGAUACAAAGAUGAUCAAAGUGCACAUGGUCCCUGUCUUGAUGGAGCUCACAUUUUCAUGAUAGAGAACAAAAAUUAAAGAGGAAUCACA
RNAcentral lists this long non-coding RNA (1230 nucleotides) under Vulpes vulpes (red fox). Its description in RNAcentral is "lncRNA (ENSVVUG00000019806.1)". The record is from RNAcentral. Lineage: Eukaryota; Metazoa; Chordata; Mammalia; Carnivora; Canidae.